Pseudoliparis swirei is the source of this 761-nucleotide long non-coding RNA. RefSeq lists it as uncharacterized. NCBI's taxonomy places the organism in Eukaryota, Metazoa, Chordata, Actinopteri, Perciformes, Liparidae. The record is from RefSeq and is a predicted model, not a curated record. The transcript is spliced from 6 exons.
GAGAAUAUGCACCGACGAAGACGCCUAAAUCCAAAGGCUGAUGCCAACUUUUACAUUGAUACUGGAGGGGACAAAGUGGGACUUGACAUCAAAUACAUCAAUGCCUUCAAAGGUCGUGGUCUGCUCUAUUUGAAAAGGGAGACUUUCUGUUGGAAUAUAGAGGUGAAUUAAUAAGCCAGCAAGAAUGUGAACGGAGACAGAGACUUCAUCAAGACUGCCUGAAGGUGUUCAUGUUCGAGUUCUAUUUUAAAGGAAAACUAUGGUGUUUUGAUGCAGCAAAAGAGGAUGGGUCACUUGGAAGACUUGUGAACGAUAAUAAUGUCAACCCCAAUGCCAAGAUGAAGUACCUAAACAUACAAGGGAAGCCCCAUCUGUGUUUGUUUGCAACACGAGACAUCAGUCAAGGAGAGGAGGUCACCUAUAAUUAUGGUGACUCGGAUUGGCCGUGGAGAUGCAAGCUUCAGAAAUCUGAAGGAAAGUCUUCGGACGGGGAGCACGGUGAGGGUCCAUCUACAUCCGAGCCUUCUCAGAGUACUCAAAAGGUGUCAACAAGUAAGAGGCAAGAAAAGAGAUCUCCAGGUGCAUCAACUAGUCUGCUCAAAAGAUAUGAAAAGAUGAUAACAGUGAGCUGAUUGAGUCUGCUCAGAGGGACGAAACUGACCAGCUUGAGACCUCUGUGGAUGGCCUGAAUCCAACAUUCACACAACUUGGUCUCCUCAACUGGGUUGAAGAGAUGAUAACAGUGAGCUGAUUGAGUCUGC